This 358-nucleotide long non-coding RNA is filed under the name Salvia miltiorrhiza (redroot sage). RNAcentral's name for it is "long non-coding RNA (SMIL_LNC010786)". The record is from RNAcentral. Lineage: Eukaryota; Viridiplantae; Streptophyta; Magnoliopsida; Lamiales; Lamiaceae.
CGGUUCCUCCUCGGGCGGGCUCUCCUCCAAGUUGAUUCCUCCCAUAUCGGGAUGAUAAUCGGAGGAGAGAUCAGGGCACCAAUUUGGAUCGUAGAAAGGGUUGUGUGGAUCCAUGACGGAGAAAAUUGUAGGAGAAGAACAGGUGUGAAGAGAAGAAGGAAGAAGGAUGAAGGAAGAAGGAGAAGAGGUGUGGAGAAGAGAAGAAGAAGAUGGGUGUUUUAAAGAAGAGAAGAAGGGAAAAUUAAAAAAAAAAAAAAAAAAAAAUCCGUCGGUCAAAGGUGCGGAGACCGAGGAGCUGCAGUCAAAAAGUGUAUAUAAAUUCGAAUUUUCGAUUUUUUCAUUUUUUUUUUAAAUUGGG